RNAcentral lists this ribosomal RNA (368 nucleotides) under uncultured soil bacterium. Its description in RNAcentral is "bacterial SSU rRNA". It matches the Rfam family "Bacterial small subunit ribosomal RNA", at positions 26 to 396 of the family's 1533-position model. The record is from RNAcentral.
AGAUUGAACGCUGGCGGCAUGCCUUACACAUGCAAGUCGAACGGCAGCACGGGAGCAAUCCUGGUGGCGAGUGGCGAACGGGUGAGUAAUAUAUCGGAACGUGCCCAGUCGUGGGGGAUAACGCAGCGAAAGCUGUGCUAAUACCGCAUACGAUCUCUGGAUGAAAGCGGGGGACUCGCAAGGGCCUCGCGCGAUUGGAGCGGCCGAUAUCAGAUUAGCUAGUUGGUGGGGUAAAGGCCCACCAAGGCGACGAUCUGUAGCUGGUCUGAGAGGACGACCAGCCACACUGGAACUGAGACACGGUCCAGACUCCUACGGGAGGCAGCAGUGGGGAAUUUGGACAAUGGGCGAAAGCUGAUCCAGCAAUG